CGGGAGCUUGUACAGGUGCUGCAUGGCUGUCGUCAGCUCGUGUCGUGAGAUGUCGGUUAAGUCCGCUAACGAGCGCAACCCUCGCUGUGUGUUAUAUGUGUCACACGGGACUGCCGGUCUUAAGCCGGAGGAAGGUGGGAUGAUGUCAAGUCAGCAUGGCCUUUAUAUCCUGGGCUACACACACGCUACAAUGGCCAACACAAUAGGUUGCUAAGCCGCGAGGUGGCGCCAAUCCAUAAAGUUGGUCUCAGUUCAGAUUGUAGGCUGCAACCCGCCUGCAUGAAGAUGGAGUUGCUAGUAACCGCAGGUCAGCUAUACUGCGGUGAAUACGUUCCCGGGGCUU
This 343-nucleotide ribosomal RNA is filed under the name uncultured Leptolinea sp. RNAcentral describes it as "bacterial SSU rRNA". It matches the Rfam family "Bacterial small subunit ribosomal RNA", at positions 1023 to 1382 of the family's 1533-position model. Lineage: Bacteria; Bacillati; Chloroflexota; Anaerolineae; Anaerolineales; Anaerolineaceae. The record is from RNAcentral.